This is a long non-coding RNA of Chiloscyllium plagiosum (whitespotted bambooshark), 6243 nucleotides long. RefSeq lists it as uncharacterized. Lineage: Eukaryota; Metazoa; Chordata; Chondrichthyes; Orectolobiformes; Hemiscylliidae. The record is from RefSeq and is a predicted model, not a curated record.
UUCAAAUAAACAUGUUAGACUAUAACCUGGUCUUGUCUGACUUCUGACUUGUCCAUCAGAGUACAACACUGGCACUUGCUCAUUAUUCUUAAUUCUCCACUCAGUUUCUAUAUGCAACAACGGCAGGUAUAUUGUGUUAGGCCACAGAUCAGCCAUGCCCACAAUGAAUGGCAGAACAAGCUUAAGAGACUAUUCUUGUUCCUACUGGGGACCAAUGCUCAUUUUGCUGACACAGUUUCUACAGAUAUUUUAAGAAGCAAUCAUGUUUUUAUAUUUCUAGCUGGUUUGCUCUUGUACUCAUUUCUGUCUUCUUUGUCACAUUUUUACUUCUUUUUCAAGCUCUGUCCAAAUUCGGACCUGCCACAUCUUUGCAGAAUUAUACUUUUUUCUUUAAAUUGGGCUGUUUAAUCCUUCUUGUUACCCACGGGUAGCAAAUCCAUAAUUUGUAUUUAUUCACAUUCUUUGAAACAUAUUCUAUAUAUUCUGCAAUAUCCCCAUUAAUGUUGGCUACUACAUCUCCAGAUAUUUUUAAUCAGCCUGUUCUAAAGGGGUAGGGCUUAAAUGUAGUCCUUGCAGCAUACUCUUGACACUAUCACUGCAUCUCUAAUUGACCUAUUCAUUUUAUCAAACUAAUUUAUCAAUCCAGCUGUAUUCUCAUUUUCUUCUACACGACCCUUGCACUUUAACAAUGUUAAACGGGCAGAAUUACAAAGAAAGGUCCGGAAAUAAGAUCUGCCAAACAGCUCUGCAGAAUACCAACACAAACUCAGCAAGCAGAACGGCUUUCUCCUAUACUGCCCCCUCUGGUAGGGAGGCCUCCUCCCCAAUGAGCGGCUUCCCUGAUGAUAGACAACUGGAUUCUCCAAUCAUGGUACACCAUUGUCCCGACUGUUGACCAAUGACAAGGAAGAUAAAGAACGGGCAGGCGGUGAGGAACCAGUGCGCUGAUUGAGGCUGGGCAAUAAUCGCUCUGUAUGAUGACCAAUCAGAGCCGGGGGUCGCGGCUACCCCGCCUAUCGGUGGUUGCGCAGGCCGGAAAUCAUGAUUGUGAUGGGCAGAGCGGCGGGCCAAUGGGAGAGAGACGUUUGUGAGCGCGCUGUCCCGCGGGGGGCGCGCCCCCGCUCGGGGCGAGCGGGUUGAGCAGAGGUGAAGAUGGCGUUUGGGCGCCGGAAAGGAUUAACGGAGGAGAUGGAUGGUGAAAGCAAUGACAAAUCGGAGCUUCGGCAGUGAGUAGAUGACGGGAGAACAGCCGGCCCUGGAAAUGACGGCGCGAAGUAGGAUUAACGGCGCCCGGUUGAUUUCUUGCUGGCGUUACCAAACCAUGAUGGACUGGUACAAAAUCAUCGCAGAAAGUAAAGUCUCUCAAAUCUGCUUUGAAGCUGUCAAAACAACAAGCCUUCCCUGUACCAGCACUUCUGUUUUUAUAAGCAGCAAGGUCUCAAAUGGCCUGGAUUAAUGACUGUCCUGUUUGGGCUGUUUACUAUCUCGAUGAAGAAUGGCGAUAUGAUGAUGAUCACUGACCUCUAAGCUACACCAAGACUCUCAACCCCUCCUAUCUCCACCUCCACCCACUAACCAGCCUUCUCCCCCUGCCAGUCUCACAAUCAGUACCCCACUCCCUGACAACCACCCUGAGUUAACUGUUCAAAAGCAAGCCACACUGCUUGAAGUCCACAAUGCUCUGACUCCUGUAAGAUCUGGUGUCACAUCCAUCAUGCUAAAUUACGCAGAAGUCGGAACAGACCAUAUCUUGUCAGUGUUGAGAAGAUUCCAGGUGGGCAUGUCCAAACCAGAACCUUGGUUCUGAAAAUGUCAGACCUAUUAAGUAUCAUGUGGUUGGAUGAAGGCACCUGCACUGGAGGCAAACGUGUUUCACUUCAUCGCUGUUUAAUCUUUGUGUGAAUGUUCUUCACUUUGUUCCUGUCCCGGCGUGUGGCAAAUGCAGUGUUAGCUUCACAAUACGAGAGCCUGAGCCUAGUAGCUAAUACCGGCCCAGGGAUUGCUGCUCUGCUUACAAUGGCCUUCCAUUCUCACCGUACGACUAGACACUAUUUCAUCCGACAUUGAGCUUCCCUUGUAUUUAGUUGCCAGUGCUUGCUCACCUCAGCUUUUGUUUUGGUCUAAUCCAGCGUCCGAAUGCUGCUUUUGACUCGGAACCACCAGUUACUUAAGAAUGUGCCAGGAGAUGAUUGAACCCUUGCAGCCCCCUAACAGACAUGGCACUGGGCCUGUUGCUAGUACUGCCCUCUUUCCACUCCGUUAACCACCUGCUGCUGUCGGUCUCAGAUCAAAUAAACAGAAAAGCACUUCCAGCUGGUCCUCCCACUCCACCCCAAACUUUUAAAACAAAACCUACUGUAUGUAAUGAGAGAGGCCAGCAGCCUGUCAGGGUGCCCUGAGCCUCUUGCCCACAAUGCUGACCAGCUUUUUUUUCUCUUGUUUGGAGGCGACUGCUGCUGAGUGCUUGCAGCAUUCCCUGCUGAUGGCCCUUGGAUUGUCUGUGGGUUGACUGUUUCGAUAUUGCACAUCAUUUAGCAAGCUGUGAUAAGCUGAGCGCAAAGUUCAAGAUCAUUUAACCCUGGGGCUAAGUGAGGUGAGCUGGGCUGGGUGCUUUCUCUGUGUCAGCUUUAAGAGAAGCUGAUGGCAGGCCUGGGGAGUACCCUUGGACGUGUGGAGCACAGGGAAGUGGUUAUUCCUUUGGCUUUUUCCCAAUCACGCUCAAGCUUAGUCUGCAGCCAGUAGAGACCAAUGAAGGUUUUCCAAAUCAGUGGGGCAGUUCCAUGACACACUUUUGGCUUUGACCUAUGAGUUUUGUGCAUCCAAGAUCAUCACAGGGCACAUGUUAAGUAUCAUCCAGUCAGAGCAGUAGAGGAUUGAUUCCUGGUGUGGGCAUUGUGCACCAUCUUAUUGCAUCCCAGAUAACGGUGACACCAGGUCAGAAUGGCCAGCUUGUGCGGUCAGUUUCUCCAAAGCAGCAAGAAAAACCCUUCAAUCACAUGGAGAUUCUCUUUCAUUUCUUUUAAAUGUUAGGAUGUAAUAGCCUAAAGUUUUUAGCCUGCACAAGAUGUUUCCUAUAUGAGAAGCCAGACCAACUGGCAUCUGCAUACAAUCAGUGACCUCUUCAGCCAGUCUCAUUCUCACUGGUAUCAGCCCCACAAAGAGCUUCACUGGGACUGAUCUGUGUUGUGACUGAGCCCUGUUAGAUGAGCAAUAGCAGAAGCAUUGGGGCUGGAGUGGAGUUUUCAGCUGUUUGUACAUAGCGCAGUAUCAGUAGAAUAGAGUGCUAUCCUUUACCCCUCUCAUUUUUAGGACUUUUUCAAACUUGCAUUUUUGUUUAACUUUUAGUUUUUCAUUUAGAUAAAAGUUCGGGCUGUGCAAUACUAUUAACGUGAAAAAUAAAUGUCACGAUUAGUUUUUAAAACAAAAACAGAACAACAAAAUCACCAAUGUCUUCCAUUUGGAGAUGUAUAGUUCCACACCACUUUAGUGCUUCAGUAGCAGCUGUAGUGCCAAACCUUAGAGGCAGUGCAUGAGGUUAGCGGAGCUUGCCAUGAGCGGUUUAACCGAACUUUUUUUUUUAAACAGGGCGUAGCUUAAUGAACUAACCAGGGUCCAGGUUUAUCCAGCAAGCUGGUUUGAGGAAUGUCAGGAUGGAAAUCAGAGUCUCAUUGUUGUGCUUAUGGCCUCCCAUCUCUUCUGUAGAAUUUAGUGAACCCAGCUGCUUGAGAUUGCUGGCUGUCAGCUUUAGAUUUGAUGGAAGGUGGUAGUUUUCUUAUACAGAGAUUCAGGAAAGUGGUCUGACCCACCAGCUUGAGAAGGGGAGUGUCCAGACUAGCUUUCCGUGAACUGAAUAGAUUGUAUCGGUCAUCUGAGCAGUUACCAACCUUGAUCACUUAUCUGGGAGUUACUAGAUCAUCUUUGUAGGCAGUGGUUGAGGGAAGCUUUGGCUCCACAUCAUUGUGUUGUGCAGAUUAUAUUGGUUGCUUGUACAUAAGACACUAAGCCCCACUACCUGUAGAGCUUAAAACAGUGCCCAGCAAUACUUGUAUUUAUGGUGUAGCAGUACUAUCAAUUGGAGUGACUUCUGCUUUCACCAAGAGUGCAGUUACAGUAUAAACACUGCCUGACUCGGAACUUGGUGAGACUCCUGGGUCUUUGCUUGUGCCCAGCUUACGUGAUGCAGGUUUGGUGUUGGUUGAAGCUGAAACCUUUUCUCCUGAAUAUGAUACUACCAUGUGAAUGCAGUCCUAAUGUAGCAGCAGCUCGACUCUAUGUAGUUAACGAUGCAUAAGAGCAAUGCCUGAAGCUGGCCUGGUCAUUGGUGGGUUUCACUCUAAUUUUUUUUAACACUGGGGCAGGAACCACCAACCCACCGUUUAGCACACACCUGACUGUCACAGAUGAGAAUACUUAUCCACUCGUUCUGUGAUGUGACCUUUUGCAGCGAGGACAGUGGGAUUUACCAUAUUUAGUGAACAUCGUAGAACCUUGGAAAAGGCUUUACUUUUUCUUUUAGGCAACAUCCCUCAUGCUGGCUGAAAUUAAUUUCAGAGAUCAGAUUAUAGUGCAACUGUCACUGUUCUUUUUUUUGAUAAAGUAUCUAGCGCUUUGCAAAAUAAUUCCAGCUUUGGGUAAGAUUAUUAAAUACCUCCUGGGUUUCACCUGCAAAUGAAACUCGUAGCACAAAUUGUAGUCACAUUAAAAUGCAAAUAAAGCCAUAUGAUUUUAGAGUAUGUGCCAUUAGUAGCAAUAACUGUUGUACAUGUUAGUAAUGCUGUUGCCAGUAUAGGAAAGAAUGAACUUGGAAGAGCAGUGGUUGACAAAUGACCAAACAGACCUCAACCUAGUUUUUCUGGAACAGGCUGAAUUGUAGAGUUGGAAACCUUCAAACGCGGAGCAUUGGCAUUGCUCUAUACCCAUCAACGUUUGGACUAGCCAGCAAUACCUGUGAUAUCGUGGGUGCAAUGCUUGAAUGGUUCCUGACAGCUGCUGCCUAAGCUCACUGAAGCUGGAAGUAUCAGUGCAGCAUCCAUGGGAGGAGAAAAUGCUAACAGGACGAACAAAAAGCAGGCCCUGUUCCAGGGAGUCCCAGACUGAGCGCAGCCUGCUUCCCAUGGACUGUGAAUGCUCGUUUUUUUAACUGUCCUGGGAGGCUGCUAUCUGUUGAGGCAGCAGGUUCAAGGCUCACUGCUGCAUAGAGCUGGGUACAGGAAGCAAGAAUUCAACUGGAAACGUGUCGAUGGAAUGUUGAACUGACCACAAAAAUCCAGGGUGAAGGAGGCUGAGUUUUUAAUUAUGCAUGUUCAAAAAUGUAUUAUACAGUAGCUAGAUCUGUCAUGAAAUCAGUCUGAUGUUUAAUUAUGCAUUAACAAACACUGAGCAAUAGGAAUUAAAAUAUACGGCAGAUAUACCAUCCUGUUCAUUAUUGUUCAGCCUGCAAAGCUAAUUCUCUUGUAAAGAGACCGAGAGAAUGAAGCAUUGUGCUGUACAGCUAACAGGGCAGGGACUUUCAGAGGAUUGAGGGAGCACUGGGUAUAAUCCAGUGGUGAUCCCACAGUGAAUCUGUGCACGGAUUUGACUGUUGCUGGUUUGCUGGGGGUUGGCAGUGUAUGUUUUGAUUUCCCCUGUUUUAUGUCCAGGCCAUCCAACUGUCAUUUCAGAAGUGGAAUAGACUACACAGAAAUGAAACUUCAACCAGAGCUGGGCUAGAUGCUCCCCUCCCAGUGCCUGCUAUCUGCACUGACUAAUCAAACUGGAAUGGGUCAAACAGAGUUUGGAUAAAGGUUGUAGCUCAGGUUGAGGUUCUCAAUGUAAGUUUGCUUGCUGAGCUAGAAGCUUCACUGGAGGCUCACUGAUGACAUUGCCUAGUAUGGUGAUGAAAUAUCUGAAAGUGAACCUUCCAGCUCAGCAAGCAAACUUACAUCCAGAUGGGUCAAACGCUUAGGUUGCAGCGUAAUGCCUCAGUCCUCAAUCUCUCUUCAAUAGGGCAGUGCUGGAUUUAUAACAUUCUGCUGUCUAAAUUUGUUAUUUGAAUCUUUUUUAUGGAAUUACAGUGCUAAAUGUUUUCUAGAUGCAUGAGGCAGCUUGCAUUAAACUAUGCAUUUCAGAGAGAAGGGAUGAGAAUUGCAUGAAUCACUCACUGCUGUAGAAUGAUCCCUCGAGCAGUCUGAUUGCUCUAACUUCACCUCUGUACAGAACUAACAGCAAUAAAAGACCCGUGUGCCAAUGGUGCACUAGUGUUUA